GGGGGCGACAUGGCUUCGACGGGGGCAUGGAGUAUGGAGUAGCCGAAGGUUGUCGCCAAACAACCUAAAAAGUGGCAAACUUAAAUUAAACGCAAACGAUAAUUACGCAUUAGCUGCCUAAUAUAGGCAACUCGCUUCCUCUAAUAGUCCCGCCUAUUAGAGAGUAAGCGCCAUUAAAUUGCGGGGCACUGCUUAAGGGGUUUCUUCGACCUUAAGUAGAACAAUUGAAGAUAGUUCAUUAUAGAGCUGGUUGUUGGGCGCUAUAAUGAAUGAAUAUAAAUCAGCAACUGUUUCGGGAGAAGCUCCAUAUGAAUUGCCUUCGGACGUGGGUUCGAUUCCCACCGCCUCCACCA
This 353-nucleotide transfer-messenger RNA is filed under the name Anaeromonas frigoriresistens. RNAcentral's name for it is "Standard tmRNA". It matches the Rfam family "transfer-messenger RNA". From Rfam's summary of the family: Bacterial tmRNA, also known as 10Sa RNA or SsrA, is named for its dual tRNA and mRNA-like properties. Its role is to liberate the mRNA from a stalled ribosome. Lineage: Bacteria; Bacillati; Bacillota; Tissierellia; Tissierellales; Thermohalobacteraceae. The record is from Rfam by way of RNAcentral.